Long non-coding RNA from Vespa mandarinia (Asian giant hornet), 1299 nucleotides. The record is from RefSeq and is a predicted model, not a curated record. Lineage: Eukaryota; Metazoa; Arthropoda; Insecta; Hymenoptera; Vespidae.
UGGAUCUCGAAGUGUACACACGUAUCGCAGAUGAUUCUUCUUGAUAAUAAAUAUAACAGGUAUUAAUAUAAGACUUAAAUUAAACUUGCUGUAUUCAAUGAUCGAUGAGAGUAUAAAAGAACCGAAAACUUGUCGUCAAAUUCAUACUUUAGAAGUACACUAACAGUAGCCAUACAUUGAUGCAAAACGUAGUCAUAGUACGGAGCAUAGUAUAAAGCCGCCAUUAGAUUUCGUCUUACUGCAGCAUCGUUAUGUAGAUCUAAUUAAUGAAUCCAGAAUACUACGGCGUGUUAUCUGUUUGCAGCAAUGCCUCCAUUGUCAACACUCGUAAGGUUCAACGACGGAAGUAGAAGAAAUAUGGUCGGUCUCUGAGAAACAGGAAGAUCUAGGGUUUAAUUCUAAUAACAUAGCAUUAAGUACAGAUUUAACUCCGACGCUUGUGGUUUCACAAACACGUUCAAGGAAAAUGAAGUGCACGAUGUGUUAGUCGUAGUAAUGCGAAACGUUUCUUGCCGUUUUCAAAUUUACGUGAAUGAGAUAAUAUUUCGUUAAAGUACGAUAUGACUUUAUUGUUAAUAUUUGUUACGUUUAGAUAAGCUGUUAAGGUUUUUAUGAUAUUUUGUUUACUUUUUUUUUUUCAAUUGAAAGAAAGAUAACACAGCUGACAUUUUUUGUAAUACAAUGUUACAGAUAGAAAUGUUUAUAUCAAAUGGGAUUGGAGAUAAGGUAUGCUAAAAUGAUCUUAUACAAAUUAAAAAGCUUUAUCCUUGAUAAUUCAAAGGACAAAGUCGAGAACAAAGAGCGAUUCGUCAGACACCAAGAUGUCGGCCAAAGAUUAAAGUUUCCUCAGUUAAUCUUUAUCGUAAAUCUUAAUUAAAUAUCCUCGCUUGUUAUAAGAAGAUGGUCGACAUGUUAUAGUCAACGAGUUUUUAGAGACUAUUAUAUUAUUUUUCAAGAUUCAACGUAUAAUCUCUAUUUGAGAAAUAUCAUUUUAAUUAAUUAUUUUAUAAAAUAAUUAACAUAUAUAGGCCUUGUUACAGUUUAUUUUAAUAAGCCUAAUAACGUGUCGGUAUCGUUACUUUCACGAAAUUAUUUCUCAAAACUACUGUUUCUCGAAACUGCUUUUCGAUCUCAUUUGCGAACUUUUGACAGAAAGUCGUUUUAUGAUAGAACGAUUGAUAUCGCGAAAAGAAAUGAGAAAAGUAGUCGUACGACUCUAGAUUAAAAAACUUUUUAAUCGAGCUGUACACGCAUGUAUUCUUUUAGAAUUUUAAUUUAUUUUAUCAUUGUGGUACUGUC